AGCGGCGGACGGGUGAGUAACGCGUGGGUAACCUGCCCUAUACACACGGAUAACAUACCGAAAGGUAUGCUAAUACGAGAUAAUAUAAGAGAUUCACAUGGAUUUCUUAUCAAAGCUGAGGCGGUAUAGGAUGGACCCGCGUCUGAUUAGCUAGUUGGUAAGGUAACGGCUUACCAAGGCGACGAUCAGUAGCCGACCUGAGAGGGUGAUCGGCCACAUUGGAACUGAGACACGGUCCAAACUCCUACGGGAGGCAGCAGUGGGGAAUAUUGCACAAUGGGCGAAAGCCUGAUGCAGCAACGCCGCGUGAGUGAUGAAGGCCUUCGGGUCGUAAAACUCUGUCCUCAAGGAAGAUAAUGACGGUACUCGAGGAGGAAGCCCCUGCUAACUACGUGCCAGCAGCCGCGGUAAUACGUAGGGGGCUAGCGUUAUCCGGAUUUACUGGGCGUAAAGGGUGCGUAGGUGGUCUCUUAAGUCAGGAGUGAAAGGCUACGGCUUAACCGUAGUAAGCUCUUGAAACUGGGAGACUUGAGUGCAGGAGAGGAAAGUGGAAUUCCUAGUGUAGCGGUGAAAUGCGUAGAUAUUAGGAGGGACACCAGUAGCGAAGGCGGCUUUCUGGACUGUAACUGACACUGAGGCACGAAAGCGUGGGGAGCAAACAGGAUUAGAUACCCUGGUAGUCCACGCCGUAAACGAUGAGUACUAGGUGU
RNAcentral lists this ribosomal RNA (710 nucleotides) under uncultured bacterium. RNAcentral describes it as "bacterial SSU rRNA". It matches the Rfam family "Bacterial small subunit ribosomal RNA", at positions 94 to 823 of the family's 1533-position model. The record is from RNAcentral.